AUAAAAGCAAAGAGAGGGAAAAGUAUUAUAGAGUACAGUUUCCAGAGAGAGAAUGUUACAAGUUGAGAACAUUCUUAAAUAUGCCUAUAAGAACAACUACCCUGGAGCUAUGACUUAGUAGCUAGGUUUAGUGAAAUGUCAUCGGCGAAGGUCGUUAAACAAUUGAGAAGAAUUGAAUUAUUUUAAUUCAAUUUGGGUGGAACCACGGAUAACAGCAUUCGUCCCAACA
RNAcentral lists this non-coding RNA (229 nucleotides) under Clostridium collagenovorans. RNAcentral describes it as "T-box sequence". It matches the Rfam family "T-box leader". From Rfam's summary of the family: Uncharged tRNA acts as the effector for transcription antitermination of genes in the T-box leader family. Lineage: Bacteria; Bacillati; Bacillota; Clostridia; Eubacteriales; Clostridiaceae. The record is from RNAcentral.